CUCUCGUUAGGAAAGUCAGACAAGCUCUCACGCAAUGCUCAGAGGUGCCUCAGGAGCCCUGCAGUGCGAUACAUUUCAAUUAGGGGUCUCUGCACUUGGGCUGCUGAGCUGGAAGUAUUAUUGCAAAGGGACUUGAAUCUUGCAUUAAAUAUACUCGCAACAUCACAGCACAUAUGUUCAGGGUGGGAAUCUCUGUUGAGAUCUGGUCCCUUUGGACUGCAAAGGGGGAACCGCGGCCAGUGGGAGCUUGGGGGGGGCGUGUGUGGUGCCUGUGGGUGACAGCAGCAUGUGGAGCCUCCUGGCCCCCCUGUCUAGGACCCAAACCUACUGGCUGCUUCCAGAGCACAGCACGGAGCUAGGACAGGCAGGAAACCUGCCUUAGCCCCAUUGCGCUGCUGACCAGAAGCCGUCCGAGGGGAACUUUGGGCCUGAAGGGAGCUGCUGUGACUUGUCUUGUGCUUUCAGGACUCCACAGAGAAAAUCCAAGACUGUGCUAUAAACUUGGACAACAGUAAAGUACCACGGUAUUCUCCCUGCUGCAGCCCCGCUUUAUGGCCCAGUUGAUCAAAGUCUUCUGAGAUGCUACAACAGCAAGAAUAACCCCCUGCUCAGCACUGAAAUUAACACACUGCUAGUGCAAAGAGAUGUGCGACAGUCUGGCUCAGGAAGGCAGAUGGACCUGGAUACUCAGCAAGAGUCCCCUCUGCUCAGCUGUCCUGGGAAGGAAAUAACCAAGGAUAUUGAACCAACAGUCAGAGCUACGUCUUCAGCUAAACUUAACAUUGAAAAGUUGUGUUUGAAGGGAAAAGAUCAAUUUGUGUAGGUCCCCAAAUGCACCUUCUUUGAGGUCACCUGCUCCCACUUACCCAAUCCAACACUCCAGCUGUUCUCAGGGGAAGACACAUUCAAACCCAGAAAUUAACGGUGAAAUCUGUCUUUUGCAGAACAAGUUUAAUUGGAGGUAGCAGCUCUCCGCCAGCUCCUGGGGUGGCCAUCUUGCUUGGAAAUAAAAGCCACAUGCCCCCACAAUUUUAUUUUGCAGAAUUCUGGAUGAGAAUUUUCACCCUCUUGUUCCUCCAAUUUCAAGGAAAUGGCAGUUUGCACACUCAAAACCAAACUUCUGGGAUAUUUUUGAGGCAAAAGCCUUUAUUUUCUUGGAAAACAGGCCAAUAGUCACCAUGUUCACUUGGAAAGAGGCCCUGCUUUGCUUGAAAAGCAGCCCAAUUUCAAUGGAAAAUUGGAAUAUGAGCCCAGAUUUGCUUUUUUGAAAAAACAAACCAAAACCCUGUACACCGGAGCAAAAUUUUCCAUGAAAAUGGCAGGGCUUUGGAGUUUAUAACGAACAGCUAAAAGCCCUUGAAACUGGAGUCGUUUUUCAUUUCUUACAAAUAUUCCAUGCGCUACCAGAACCAGCUCAGUAUCAUAUAUUUCUGUUUCUAAUAAUUAUUUCUAAUAAUUGUUUCUAAUAAUGGCUCAAGAUUCAGGAAAAGAACCUUGACACCCAUAAGACACUGGGGUGGCUUAUGGCAAUACCUGGGUGCUGUUUAAUGAGAACUAACAUUAACUGUCCUCUGUUGGCAAUCGCAUACCAUGAUGAUAGGUGCCUAAGGAAUCUUUAGGAGAACCGCUGUGUGGUAUAAAUUUUUAUCCUUACUUUUUGUAAAGCAUCAGCAGUUUGUUCAGCAUUUUGCUGACAGAUACAGAAACAAACUCCCUGUCCCAAAGAUCUUACAGUCUAGCUAGACAACAUAUAGACCAGGGAGACAGGAGACAUUGGUCAGGGAUAGAUUCAGAAGAUCUCAGCUUCCAGAACUCACACAGAGUUCUUUUGAAAAUCGGGUCCCAGUUGUGGGUGCUGAGCCAUUCUGAAGAGUCUAACCUCGAGGACUGUGUGACAAGGUGGAUGGCUUCCUGGAGGGAGCUGGGCUCAUCCCCACCUACGUGUAGUUAUUCACCUCCUAGCUGAUAGGUGGCCAGUGAUGGUCUGUGGGUCACCUGGUCCUCAGACAACAGGCAGGCAUGCAACUGUUUGAGUCAGGGGCAGACUGCCAGCCAGUCCUGCUGGAGGCUCAGGGCUAAAGGGAAGGACCUGGAGCCCAGAAAAGGGAGUAGCAGGAAAAGGCAGGACAGUGAAGGACUCUGGGAGGUGACAGCAAGAAGUAAAAGUUAUAAGCAGUGCAGUGGUGUGGGCUGGAGGCCCAGUGUAUGUCUACACUGCAAUUAAAAAUCCAUGGCUGGCCUGCACCAGCUGACUUGGGCUCGCAAAGCUCAGGCUAAGGGGCUGGUUAAUUGCAGGGUAGACAUUCAGGCUUGGGCUGGACCCUGGGCUCUAGAGUCCUGCAAGGUGGGUGCACAGGCUGCAGGUGGGUGCCUAACUGCAGUGUAGACAUAGCCUACGGGUCCUGGGAUGGGAACUUCCAGCCAGGGAGGAAGGCCCUCCUUCAACCGGGCUCCCCCAGGGUAAAGAAAUGGUUACCCCGCCUGAGGGGAGAAUGGGCAUAGCUUGAGCUCAGGGAGGACAAAGAAGCAGUGAGCCCAGAAAGGGUAAAUGGGUUAUUGGGGGCUGGAAAAAAAGCCUGAAAUGUACAAUUUGGGAUUUAGUUGGGUCUCAGGUUAACCAGUGAAAUAGCAGGCCCUAGAUUACCAUGUUUAGGGAAGUGUUAUGUUAACAUAAUUUUAGCAUGACCUUUAACCUAAUAUAUUUCUAUUAAAA
Chelonia mydas (Green sea turtle) is the source of this 2713-nucleotide long non-coding RNA. RefSeq lists it as uncharacterized. The record is from RefSeq and is a predicted model, not a curated record. The transcript is spliced from 3 exons. Lineage: Eukaryota; Metazoa; Chordata; Testudines; Cheloniidae.